Molecule: ribosomal RNA, 325 nt
Filed under: uncultured eukaryote
Lineage: Eukaryota
Description: partial 18S ribosomal RNA
Rfam family: Eukaryotic small subunit ribosomal RNA
Source: RNAcentral
CCCUUAGAUGUUCUGGGCCGCACGCGCGCUACACUGAUGCAUUCAACGAGCCUAUCCUUGACCGACAGGUCCGGGUAAUCUUUGAAUCUGCAUCGUGACGGGGAUAGAUUAUUGCAAUUAUUAAUCUUCAACGAGGAAUGCCUAGUAGGCGCAAGUCAUCAGCUUGCGUCGAUUACGUCCCUGCCCUUUGUACACACCGCCCGUCGCUCCUACCGAUUGGAUGUGCUGGUGAAAUGUUCGGAUCGGCCGUUUGUCGCGGUUUCCGCGUCAUGUGGCUGAGAAGUUCAUUAAACCCUCCCACCUAGAGGAAGGAGAAGUCGUAACA